RNAcentral lists this long non-coding RNA (1153 nucleotides) under Piliocolobus tephrosceles (Ugandan red Colobus). RNAcentral describes it as "lncRNA (ENSPTEG00000016474.1)". The record is from RNAcentral. Lineage: Eukaryota; Metazoa; Chordata; Mammalia; Primates; Cercopithecidae.
UAAAGGAACAAAACAAAGUGACAACAGAAAAUGAAUAACUUUCAAAGGGUUAUGUGUGCCUCUCGUUUCAUGCGUGUGUUUGGAAAGUUCAAAAGAGCACAACUAAGAGAAAAGCCACAAAGAAAAAUAGGACCAUUUAGUAAUCCUGUGAAAAGAUUAGCAAGAUUAAAAGAGAAGGAAAGACUAUUUUGUGACAUCGGUAUGCCGCGUAUUAUACCAAGAGCAAAAAUAAACUAUAAAGAAAAAUUAUUACAAAUUAUAGAACCACCAAGAGUAAAAAAAGAAGUACUAGAGAGAAGGUUAGAUUUUUUAUUGUCAAAUGACAGUGUAUAUCAACAGUUAUAUAACAAAAUGUAUAAUGGUAUAACACCAUAUCAAUGUGAACUGUUUAUGUGGGAAAGGCAAAUGAGAGAUUUACGGAAAAUAUACCGAGCACAAUAUAUACAUAAAUUAAGUGAAGUUACAAACGAAGAACGAAAUAAACAAAUAAAAUUAUUAUUACAAACUAAAGAAGAUAAAAAAAAAAGAAAAGAAAAAAUUCGAACUCGGAUAUUAGAAGAAAAAAAAAGAAGAGCUAUACUAAAAGAUCGUUUAUCAUUAGAAAAAAAAGUAAAUGAAUCUAUUCUUUUUAAAAGACAAUCUAAUAUAAAAAAAAAAAAUAUCUACUGGUUAAAUAAAUUACAAAAAAAAUGUAUGUAUUCAAAUGCAGAAGAUUUUGAAAAAAAAAUAAAAAAUAUGGAUAAAGAAAAUGUUAAAACUGAUAAACAUGAUGUUAUGAAAACUGUUUCAGGUGUAACUAAAAAAAGUAACACUAUCAGUGGUGCUAUCAAAAGUAAUCAUAUAAACUAUCAAACAGAUGGUAGUGAUAAUGAUGGUGAUAUUGAUGGUGACAUUUUAUUUAAUCGUAAUGUUUCAACUAGCGCGUUAUAUAAAGACCUAGGAUAUGAUAUAAGGGAAGACAAAGGGUAUCAUAGUACACAUUUCAAAAUAGAUAAAGUUUAUAGAAAAUUAUUAGAAGAAUCUUUUGAAUUUUUAGAAGAGGAUGCAGAUCAAUACGAAGAAGAAAGAAAUGAUGAAAAUGAUGCCGAUUAUAUUACUGAUAGUAGUAAUAAUAAUGUGUCACAUCUAAAAAGAGCAAAAAUUUUAUAUUCUU